Molecule: long non-coding RNA, 750 nt
Organism: Oncorhynchus keta (chum salmon)
Lineage: Eukaryota; Metazoa; Chordata; Actinopteri; Salmoniformes; Salmonidae
Exons: 3
Source: RefSeq, a predicted model, not a curated record
UUUUGCUAGAGGUGGAUUUUGCUAGAGGUGGAUUUUGCUAGAGGUGGAUUUUGCUAGAGGUGGAUUUUGCUAGAGGUGGAUUUUGCUAGAGGUGGAUUUUGCUAGAGGUGGAUUUUGCUAGAGGUGGAUUUUGCUAGAGGUGGAUUUUGCUAGAGGUGGAUUUUGCUAGAGGUGGAUUUUGCUAGAGGUGGAUUUUGCUAGAGGUGGAUUUUGCUAGAGGUGGAUUUUGCUAGAGGUGGAUUUUGCUAGAGGUGGAUUUUGCUAGAGGUGGAUUUUGCUAGAGGUGGAUUUUGCUAGAGGUGGAUUUUGCUAGAGGUGGAUUUUGCUAGAGGUGGAUUUUGCUAGAGGUGGAUUUUGCUAGAGGUGGAUUUUGCUAGAGGUGGAUUUUGCUAGAGGUGGAUUUUGCUAGAGGUGGAUUUUGCUAGAGAUUUUCUGGGAGGUCAUUGCAGAGAGUUGGUAUGUUUUGUGAGUUAGUUGCUCAGAUAGAGCUUAUUUGAUGUCCUUUGUUUCUUAGUUUGUUUGUGAAAUUGUUUAAUAUUCUGUUUCAUUUGUUCCCAGGGGGAAGGGGAAGGCACCUAGGGAGUGCUUAGGCAAGAGGCCCGCGGGCAUACAUAUACCCGUAGCAUAUUCGCUGUCUAGGCACACUAGUUUUUCAGUCUCUCGGUCCCAGCUUUGACGCACCUGUACUGACCACGCCUUCUGGAUGAUGACGGGGUGAACAGGCCGUGGCUCGGGUGGUUGACGUCCUUG